This 510-nucleotide long non-coding RNA is filed under the name Manihot esculenta (cassava). Its description in RNAcentral is "long non-coding RNA (MESC_LNC005777)". The record is from RNAcentral. Lineage: Eukaryota; Viridiplantae; Streptophyta; Magnoliopsida; Malpighiales; Euphorbiaceae.
GUUCCAUUGCUCUUCAGAAUGUUUCGCUGGUUUUCCUGGGUGUGCAUGAGUGUAUCGUGCAUCACACUUGGGUGUAGGCUUGCAACAUUCACUUGUUCCAUUGCUCUUCAGAAUGCCUAUCUAUGAUGGAACAGUGAUGGGUGCUUAUGGGGGUCGACCUGUUCAGUUCCCCUAUAAUAACGAGACAGAGCUUAGCUGGCCUGCAAAGCUCAUCUUCCGAACUAUGAGAAUUCGUCUGAAUCGAAAGCUAGGAUAGUGGGGUAGGCGAUAGUGAUGUAAACGUAGAUGAUGAUGUAUCUGGGCAUGUAAAUCCUUUAAGGAUAGCCUUUUAUCCCGUAGUGUUGGUAUCUGUGACAUGCUGUAAUGUGUUUUUCUUUUAAUGAAAUUUUUGUUUUGCGUUCAUACUCGAGCUGUUCUUUCUUUAUCAUAAAUGAAGUACUUAGAUUGCUUGCUCCGUAACUUUUCCCGAGGGAUCUGCUGUAUUGCUUUCUCCUUCUUGCCCCUUUAAUC